This is a long non-coding RNA of Hevea brasiliensis (rubber tree), 2567 nucleotides long. RefSeq lists it as uncharacterized. The transcript has 4 exons. Lineage: Eukaryota; Viridiplantae; Streptophyta; Magnoliopsida; Malpighiales; Euphorbiaceae. The record is from RefSeq and is a predicted model, not a curated record.
UCCGCAGCAUUGCGCGGAGUUUAAAGCUUGUUUUUCCUGAUAUCAGAACCCAUCCCAAAUUCUACUCUAAUUUCUCCAAAUUCCCUUUAUAAAUAAAAGGAUGUACUUCUAUCACAGCCAAGCCUUCUCUGCAAAUGUGCAGAAAUAUUAUCAAUAAAUCCGAACAGAACGAGAAUGAUGGGUUCUUUAGCUCGUAAAAAUUGAUGGGUUUUGAGUUGUUAUUUUUAAUUAGGUUUUCCAUUGUGGUUGAUAGAGUGAAUUCAUUGUUGAAUGUUACGAAUGAGCAAGCAGCUCUUUGGAUGGAUGGUUGAUAAUUUCUUCAGGUUCGACAAAAUACACCAUAAAUCGCUCCCCCCUUUUAUGGUGUUACACUAAGGCGCCUUAGCUCUGUGCUUCUUGCAUGGCUGAGAAGUAGUUGAAUUCUCAUGCGUCCUAGUAAUCUUGGAGUCCCAAAUACAAUUGAAUGGCUGAAUGAUGUUUUGCUGCUUAGGGCCAAAGUUGGCAUUGAAGUGUGAGCAAUUCUCAAUUCUCUAAAUUGCUGCACCUACUAUUUACUUUUCUUGGGUUUCUUAAUCGAGCAGCAUAUUACAUAACAAUAAAAGUCUUUACUACCUGAAACUGUUUUGGAUUUUUAAUAUGUGCAGUUCUAGCCCUUGUUAAGCAUUGUUGAAUUCUUAAUUCUCUUUAUUUUUAGGGUGGUUUUAAAUUGUUGUCAAUUCUUUUGCAAGUUAAUUGAGGGACUGAAUUAGCCAUUUUAAAAGAAUUUGAAUUUUUAAAAAGGUAAUUGUCCUUAUAGUAAAAUAUUAUUUACCCCUCUGGACUUCUGACUUGCCUAAAGAUGGAGGAUUUACUUCCUUUCAAGGUUGAGGAUUUACUUCUCAUUUGCUUGGUGAACUGGAAGUAGUCGGAACUGGUUAUAGAAUCAAAGCCUCUAUGUUGGUCCUUUGAUGGACCUUGGCUUACUUUAAAAGUUGUUCAGUUUAGGAUUAAAAUUAUAAAUUGACAAGUAAAAAAUUACAUGUAUUUUAUAUUUUACUAUAAAAUUGACUCGAUUAAACCUAAUUAAGUAGCCUAAUGAACAAGUUUACAGGUAACUAGUGGAUUACUAGCUCAAUUGUCUUAUUAACUGGUUGUUAUUCGGUGCAGGUGGACUUGGUGGGGGGGCAAUAUGAUGCAGGGGAUCAUGUGAACUUUGAAGUUUGGGCUAGGCUGCCAAUGGCUUUUAGUGUAACAAUACACACACACAUACACACACACACACUAAAUUAUUGCCUAUAUGCUGAAGGUUAAUACAAUAAAAAGUAGUAUUCUGCUAUGUGGGUUAAUAUAAUAAAAGAUUUUAUUGGUUGCUUACUUCAUCAAGGUUUAUGUAGAGAAAGUAAGAAUAGCAUUUCUUUGACUUUAGUAUACAUGUGAACCAUAUAUGGGCUGACCAGUUUCUUAGAAAUUGGAAGUGCAUUACUAUUUCAAUACUUGUAGGAUAAACCAUCUUUAUGUAAUGUGAAACAGAGGCUGACCUUACUAUCGUUCUUUCAAUAAAUAGGGUGAUGGGUAGCUUAUGUAACUAUAAUUUUCUGGUUUAGUUGUUCUCGAGGCCAAGAUGUCGUUUCUCACUUAUGAAUAUGCACAUUGCUUUUAUUUUUUUGAUGUGGCUUGAAUCUUCCUAAUUGUUACAUAGAUAAUUAGGUAUCAACCUUAUCUUGUCAGCUUGGAUAGAAUCUUUCUUUUUUAAGCACUAUAAAUAUGUUGUUAAGGUAGAAAGUAUAUUUAAAUUUAAUCAUAUUGUUUGUAAUUUUCAGGUGGUUUAUGCUUGUUAACAUUGGACUACCUGCUUAAAUUGAGGAAUUCUUAGGUGGAUACUAGUUAAGAAUCUGAAACCCCAGCCUCAUCUUGAAGGGCUUGCUAUUGCUACAUGUUCAUCAGGAAACUUUGGAAAUCUUCUCCUGAUAGUUGUCCCUGCAAUCUGUAGCCAGGAUGGAAGUCCAUUUGAUAGUGCCACUUGCAAAUUUAUUGGACUCUCAGUGUGUUGGACUUCCCUUUGUACCAAGUUUUCUUUGGUAGUUGGAAACUAUUGAAGAUAUGAUCCACGGAGUGAAUUUUCUCCCUGCUUUUUUCAUUGGAUAUUUAGUUUUUAUUUUUCUAGUAUUUUUGCUGAUUCUUUAAACUCAUUGAACUAAAAUGGCCUUGAAAGCCCGCUUCUCAAAAAUGCAAAAAAUUGGAUUAACUAAGCUCUACACUAACAAUCCAUUAAUUCUUUGUUCAGGUGUGAAUGUAGAUCAUCUUCUCCAGCAUCCAAAUUGCCUAGUCCUUAAGUCAUAAUGUCCUCAAAUCUGCAAGUUCUUGAAGUUGGUAUAAUCUUGCACCUGAGGCAAGGACUUUCUUUAACUUGCAACUAGUAGCCAUUUGGCUGAUUAAUCAAUACAAAAUUUCAUAUGGUUUAUUCUUGUUAUAGUUGACUAUCAUAUGACUACUUAGAUGAAGGGGAAAGUUUAUUUGUAGUUAAAUAAUUUGUUUAUGGAGCACCUGUAAUUUUAUAUUGGAAUGAUAGAAAUGUAAUAUUUUUUUGU